AACGACUCUCGGCAACGGAUAUCUCGGCUCUCGCAUCGAUGAAGAACGUAGCGAAAUGCGAUACUUGGUGUGAAUUGCAGAAUCCCGUGAACCAUCGAGUCUUUGAACGCAAGUUGCGCCCGAAGCCUAUGGCUGAGGGCACGUCUGCCUGGGCG
This 155-nucleotide ribosomal RNA is filed under the name Saponaria officinalis (common soapwort). RNAcentral describes it as "5.8S ribosomal RNA". It matches the Rfam family "5.8S ribosomal RNA". Rfam says of the family: 5.8S ribosomal RNA (5.8S rRNA) is a component of the large subunit of the eukaryotic ribosome. It is transcribed by RNA polymerase I as part of the 45S precursor that also contains 18S and 28S rRNA. Lineage: Eukaryota; Viridiplantae; Streptophyta; Magnoliopsida; Caryophyllales; Caryophyllaceae. The record is from RNAcentral.